ACGGGUGAGGAAUACAUCGGAAUCUACUCUGUCGUGGGGGAUAACGUAGGGAAACUUACGCUAAUACCGCAUACGACCUACGGGUGAAAGUGGGGGACCGCAAGGCCUCACGCGAUUGAAUGAGCCGAUGUCGGAUUAGCUAGUUGGCGGGGUAAAGGCCCACCAAGGCGACGAUCCGUAGCUGGUCUGAGAGGAUGAUCAGCCACACUGGAACUGAGACACGGUCCAGACUCCUACGGGAGGCAGCAGUGGGGAAUAUUGGACAAUGGGCGCAAGCCUGAUCCAGCCAUACCGCGUGAGUGAAGAAGGCCCUCGGGUUGUAAAGCUCUUUUGUUGGAAAGAAAUCCUGUUGGCUAAUACCCGGCGGGGAUGACGGUACCCAAAGAAUAAGCACCGGCUAACUUCGUGCCAGCAGCCGCGGUAAUACGAAGGGUGCAAGCGUUACUCGGAAUUACUGGGCGUAAAGCGUGCGUAGGUGGUUGCUUAAGUCUGUCGUGAAAGCCCUGGGCUCAACCUGGGAAUUGCGAUGGAUACUGGGCGACUAGAGUGUGGUAGAGGGUGGCGGAAUUCCCGGUGUAGCAGUGAAAUGCGUAGAGAUCGGGAGGAACAUCCGUGGCGAAGGCGGCCACCUGGGCCAACACUGACACUGAGGCACGAAAGCGUGGGGAGCAAACAGGAUUAGAUACCCUGGUAGUCCACGCCCUAAACGAUGCGAACUGGAUGUUGGGUUCAACUUGGAACCCAGUAUCGAAGCUAACGCGUUAAGUUCGCCGCCUGGGGAGUACGGUC
Molecule: ribosomal RNA, 789 nt
Filed under: uncultured bacterium
Lineage: Bacteria
Description: bacterial SSU rRNA
Rfam family: Bacterial small subunit ribosomal RNA
Source: RNAcentral